RNAcentral lists this ribosomal RNA (467 nucleotides) under uncultured bacterium. RNAcentral describes it as "partial 16S ribosomal RNA". It matches the Rfam family "Bacterial small subunit ribosomal RNA", at positions 28 to 507 of the family's 1533-position model. The record is from RNAcentral.
GACGAACGCUGGCGGCGUGCUUAACACAUGCAAGUCGAACGGAAAGGCCCUGCUUUUGUGGGGUGCUCGAGUGGCGAACGGUGAGUAACACGUGAGUAACCUGCCCUUGACUUUGGGAUAACUUCAGGAAACUGGGGCUAAUACCGGAUAGGAGCUCCUGCUGCAUGGUGGGGGUUGGAAAGUUUCGGCGGUUGGGGAUGGACUCGCGGCUUAUCAGCUUGUUGGUGGGGUAGUGGCUUACCAAGGCUUUGACGGGUAGCCGGCCUGAGAGGGUGACCGGCCACAUUGGGACUGAGAUACGGCCCAGACUCCUACGGGAGGCAGCAGUGGGGAAUAUUGCACAAUGGGCGGAAGCCUGAUGCAGCAACGCCGCGUGCGGGAUGACGGCCUUCGGGUUGUAAACCGCUUUCGCCUGUGACGAAGCGUGAGUGACGGUAAUGGGUAAAGAAGCACCGGCUAACUACGUG